AUUUUAGACACAUUGCCCUGACGAACGUAUGGUAUAAGCUUUUUAUGAGUUUAAUUGAAGAAAAGGUAUUAAAAAGUACAUCUGAAAAAAACAAGCGGGAAAUAAAUAAUAUGCAAUUUGGUUUUACAGAGGGUCAGAGAUUGGAAGAUAACGUAUAAUAAUGAAGACAAAAAAAAAAAGAAGGAAGACAUAACUGGUUUUAACUGUUCUUGAUUCUAUGAAGGCAUUUGAUUCCAUCAGUAGAGGUAAGUUAAUAAACAAUGAAGGAAAACAAGUGAUUCUGUGGUGUAAUUAUAUUGUCUAGGGCUUUACGGCGCAAGUGGUUACACAUAUUUGAGAGGUGGCAACAGUGAAAACAUAAGAAGGAAGCAAGGUUAACAUCAGGCGGGGAAUAUUUGAGGUUGUUACGUUGUCUUUUGUCUCUUGGUGUUGGCUCUCAGAUUUUGUGGCAACUCGCUUGCCUUGGCAUGCGGCUUUGGUAUAAUGACAGCAUGCUGGAAGGGGUUUUGUUGUGGGUGUCGCACAAAGCUCGAGGGGUGGCUGGUGAUUCGGUCUGUCAGGGAAUGUCCGUAGCACGAAGCGUGGAGGUGAUUAAGGCCGCUGGUUGUUAUUCCUCCGAGGCAAACCUGGGCAUUUUGGCUGGAGUUGGAGACAUGAAGGGAUUGACACUAUUUCACUUCAGUAAAAAUGCAAACCCUUGCCACGCAGCCCAUAAAGGUUAAAGGACCCCUGGGAAUUGAUUGCACUUGACAUAAAUGGUAGGACAAAUCUAGGAAGAUACUUGCAGAUCAAAGAUAUGAGUUUUGUGCUGUGGUAAGUCAUGCCAAUGUUCUUGGUUUGCUUUAUCAAUUUUGUAUGCAUUCUGAUAAGUUAUCUAUUUGAUUUCUUAUUGCUUUGGCAGUUAUUACUUUGUGGUGUAUAAUAUAUACAGGGAGGUCCCAAUGAGACAAGCAGCUAGGUUCCAUUUGAAUUGCUUGUAUAGCUUAUUUUCAUACAAUAAAACAUGUAGCUAAUGGCAAAAAAAGGGGUUAGGUUCUGGGAUCCUUGCCAAAGUUAAACUUUCAAGCUAAAACAUAUGAUCCCAAAUGCAACAAAUGUGUCUAUAUUACAGAACUGUUGAUAAAGCAACCAGAAAGAGAAAACAACAUACAAAGAACAUGAUUUCAUAUUAAUUAAACAUAUAAAAUAUGUGUAACACUCAUCAAUGUGUAGUUAAUUUGUCAUGGAGGGUAACUUGUUCACCACUCUUGUGCCUCUUAACAAUUUCUACCUUGUUUGUGAGUGCUGUUGGUACUCUAGCUUACUUAGCCUUACUGCUGGGACUUGCACCAGAACUCAUUGGCUGCUUGGGAGGCAUAGUUAGCACUUGAGAGGGAAAAUAAGACACAAUCUAUACACCAUGUGGUCUGUCUCAUGCACACACACACACACACACACACACACACACACACACACACACACACACACACACACACACACACACACACACACACACACACACACACACACACACACA
This is a long non-coding RNA of Scylla paramamosain (green mud crab), 1516 nucleotides long. RefSeq lists it as uncharacterized. Lineage: Eukaryota; Metazoa; Arthropoda; Malacostraca; Decapoda; Portunidae. The record is from RefSeq and is a predicted model, not a curated record. The transcript is spliced from 3 exons.